This is a non-coding RNA of Pseudonaja textilis, 500 nucleotides long. The record is from RefSeq and is a predicted model, not a curated record. Lineage: Eukaryota; Metazoa; Chordata; Lepidosauria; Squamata; Elapidae.
UGACAGCUUGGUCUUCUGUUAGUAAGGCUCAGAAGUAUACCUUACAAACAUUGGUAUUCUUUAUCAUCAGGAGCAAGAUCUAUAAAAAUUGUCCCUUGGCUGACACAGUGAAAAGUCAGAUAAGGAUUGGUGCCUGAAAAGGAAAAUAUAUUAAACUUUUAUGCACAUAGGUUCACCAAGAAGUACCAACUAUAAAACUAGGACUGAGGGAGUACUGUCCGCUGCCAUCAUUUAAAAAACCACUGGAUUUUAAAAGGUAAAUUAAAGUUGUUUUCUAAGGUUUGCAAUUUCUUUGCCCAUAGAGAUUAGACAACAGCUAAGAUUCUGGAGGACUCAGAAAAUGUACUCUCUCAUUAUAAUUGAUUAUAAGUCUCAAAAGAAAAAAAAAGGAAAAAAGAACAAGGUGGCAAUUCCUUAAACUUGAAAAACCAAAACAACGUCCCUGAAUCUGGAGAACGACAAGAGCUACAAUACAUACAUUACAUGGGAGAGGCUGACCA